GAUUCCCCCAGCCUCUCCGGAGAUGGCACAGAUGAGGAAGCAGUGCCUGGACUAUCAUCACCAGGAGAUGCAGGCUCUGAAGGAGGUCUUCAAGGAGUAUUUGAUUGAACUGUUUUUCUUGCAACACUUUCAAGGGAACAUGAUGGAUUUCUUAGCUUUCAAGGAGAGACUGUAUGGACCAUUACAAGCAUAUCUUAGGCAGAAUGAUUUGGACAUUGAAGAAGAGGAAGAGGAGCACUUUGAAGUCAUUAAUGAUGAGGUGUAAAGGUUGUGGCCAGAAAGCACGGGCAGCCUGGGACUCCUGUUGCCAUAGCAACCCAGCUACCGCCGAGGACUUCUGCGGCUUUUCCAGCCCAGCAGCAGCCGCUCCAGGUACUUUCUGAUGGCUCCACAGUGCAGCUCCCCAGACUUUCCUCACUCGGAUUUGAGGACUCGAUGUGCUGAGGCAGGACCCAGAGGGGUCCCAAGAGCCUGUCCUCUUUUGUUCAAAAUACAUCUUGAAACGUCUUUGUGAAGGCUCUUAGUUUUAAUGCAUGGAAAAUCAGUGUGAUAUAAAUUAACACACAUUUCUACUUCCCAUAAUUUUUGUCUCCUAAUAGCAAAUACAUAUGGGGACUCCAGUACCUGGAGAUGUGAAUUCCAUAAAAAUGGAAGCAUCUAAGAGGCAGUGAACACUGGCGCCCACAGCAGGAGAACCAGGUGCAUCAGCGCAUUGCGGAGCUGAGGAAAGCAGGUCUGUGGUCCCAGAGGCGUCUGCUGAAGCUGCAGGAGGCCCACGACCCAAGUCCCACUGGGACUAUCUGCUGGAGGAGAUGCAGUGGAUGGCCACAGACUUUGCCCAGGAGAGGUGGAAGGUGGCCUCUGUGAAGAAGAUGGUCAGAGCUGUGGCCCGGCAGCUGCAGGACAGGACGCGCAGGGAGGCCGGGGCCAGGAGGGAGGAGCCGAGCAGGCUGAGGCAGACGUCACCUGUACUACCAGAGAAAUCGAGCGUCCCUGGUCUAGUACUGCGCAGGUAGUAAAGAUUCCAGCAUCUUGGAAGCAAGUGCUCCACUGGAAAAUAAAAGCCACGUGGUGAGUGUUUUCUUUGUGAUAUCAGAACUUCAUGUUCCGGGUGAGGGGCUUCAGGGUGCCCGUGUCCUUGCCGGGGGGCUCCGGUCUCCAGUCUCCUCAGCAUUUCCCUCUGGUCUCCCUCCAGAGAGGACAGAUCUACUCACGAUCUUUGGGACCACCCAGAAAGGGUCAAUUUCAAAAUCGAAUUUUCUCAGGAUGACUUCAAAUCAAAACAGAAACGUGUGGUCUUGCCUUUGGUUUUUCCGCCCAAACUGCCUUUUGGCUUUGCCGUGUGGGGACCGGGCACCUCGACUGUCCUCUGUGUCCUGUGAUGGGGCAGGUUACGCCAUGUCUGAUCAGUAGGACAGCGUCCCUUGGGUUCAUACCCUUUAUCUGCAGUUCUAAAACUCUGAAAGCUCAGACAGCAGAAAGGUUUUGAUUGUCAAGAACUUUCUAAUAAUAAAAUACAGAAAUAGAUUAAUAGUUGCUACAAACAUAAAGAGAGACUCCAUGGUAGAACACUUUAGGAAGCACAUUUUAUCUUUUUUGAACCAACAUGUAUUUCCAAACAUGUAAGUAAUAAUAUCAAGCGUGGUGGGAAGAUUGGAUUGGAGGCUGAUUCUGAUCUGUGUGUUGGGAUGAACUGUGGCAUUCACAGCAUUGAGCAAAAUCAUCUUCAAGGACAGCGUUUAAUUCUGUUGUUGACAAGUCUUUUAAGAAAAAGUACUAGUUUGGGAAUUUUUCACAGAUACAAAUAAGCUUGACCCCUAAAUUUAAAAUAUUAUUUAAAAAAUAAAAUGUCCCAUUUUUAAUCACCUACUCAAAGUGGAAAACCAACACAUGCCCCUAGGAACUCACAGUCCUGGUGGUGAGUAUCGGAAAGCACAGGGAAAGGAGUGCCUGACCUGGGAGAACGGAGGUCAUGCUGAGUCUUCAGAGCAAAUAGGAAGUUCCUGGAUGGUUACGGGGGAGGGAAAGUCACGGCAGCAGGAGUAGCGCACACAUCACAUGCAUGUGACAGGGAGCAGUGCAGUGCAUUCAGGAAGCUCGGGGCUGUGUGGUGAGGACUCAGAACGCAGGGAGAAGGCGGCACAGGCCCAGAGGAUGAGGGGCUGUGGGUCAGAGAAUGGUGGGAACCUCCCCAAAUCCCAAGUUCCCUGAGGCCAGCCCAGGGCCAGCCUUGUGUGCGGGUGUUUCUGAGGAUGGCGCGUCUCUGCAUGAGCCUUGUGUGUCAUGUGCAAGAGUGUGUGUUGUGUCCUAUGUGUGGGAGGGAGCUGCCGGCGGUGCAUUUGUGGGGGCCGAGGGCCAGUCAGGAUGUGCCAUUAGAACCACGUGGCUCCUGAAAGCAAGCCCGUGAUACCAGAGAUACCUGGUAGUAGCAUCUAUAUCUGAUUAGCUGUACAUCUCUUGACAGUCUUUUUAAAAGCAUGAGUGAAGAAAGACAUAAACUUCCGGAUUUGCGUAAGUGAGCUUGCCAACUAAGGGAGCACUUGAUUAGACUCCAGAAACAGAAACUGCAGCUGCUCCCACCACCCCCACCACCACAGGCCCUGCCCGGGGCACAGCCAACCACACAAGUGCAAGUGCAGCCGUCACCCGCCUACCACAGCAGAGCCCCCAGCUCACCACAGUCACGGCCCCGAGACCCAGAGCCCUGUUGAUGGGCACCACCAUGGCCAACCUCCAGGUAGCCCGGCUUGUAAGCGUUCGGUCAUCAUUGCUUUUUUUUUGCUUUUUUUUUUUUUUUUUUUUUGAGAAGGAGUUUCACUCUUGUUACCUGGGCUGGAGUGCAAUGGCCCAAUCUUGGCUCAUUGCAACCUUCCCCUCCUGGGUUCAAGUGAUUCUCCUGCAUCAGCCUCCCCAUUAGCUGGGAUUACAGGCAUGCACCACCACGCCCGGCUAAUUUUGUAUUUUUAGUAGAGACCGGGUUUCACCAUGUUGGCCAGGCUGGUCUCGAACUCCUGACCUCAGGUGAUCCACCCACUUCAGCCUCCCAAAGUGCUGGGAUUACAAGACUCGAGUUUCCACCUCCCACCUGCAAGGCCCAAGACUGACGUCAGCGCUGACGUACCAGAUGGCCCAGGUUGCUGUGGCCACGCCCCCUGUGGUGUCUGUCCUGGCAGUUGUGGUGCUGUCAGCCAGGGUCACAGUGCUUCCAUCAACGCAACGGGAUCAGUGUUGUGAUAAGGCAGCUGCAAAAAGCGGCAGGUAGGCAGCCACCUUCGCCUCACCAAACUCGAAACAACUCACUUGAGUGAGUUGCAUCAAACCUUUCUAAAUUUCUCAUUCUAGAAGUCAUGCCAUCAGUUGUACUUAAACAUAUCCAUCAUAUUUCAGUUGCAAAAGAUGGUGAAGAACUCAAGCUGAAGAGGUGUCUGCUGAAUUUUGUUGCUUCGGUAGGAGCUUUUCACCAUCAGUUUUUAGAAAGUACGCAUGACUCUCCUUCUGUUGAUAUCUCUCUUGAUUUGGCAAAGAGUACAAGGAGGACCGCAAAGGGUUGCCAUAUAAUCAUCACAAAUAGAUCCAGGGAUGCCAUAUCACGUCCUGUAGAGAGUCCUCAUUGCGACGCUUGCUCCACACAGCAUUCAUUCAUAUCAGCUGCAACUUGACACCCAAGGCACGGGAAACAAAACGUGCCACAGAGGCAGACUCCACAGUCGCUGAAGCUGGGCAACAGAUUUGAGCAGACACUCCACCAAAGAAGCUCUCUAGGUGGCAAAUAAGCACUGUCCUCUGGGAAAUGCAAAUAAAAAUCACAAUGAGAAACUACUGCACACCCGUGAGAAUGCCUUAAAAAAAAAAAAAGUUUUAAAAAAGUUAAUGGAAGGGUUAAACAAUACAUUAGAGAAUUUGCGAGCUACAGAGAGAUCUGGAGAAAUAAUCAUGAUAGCAUGAGACUAGCAAACAAGACAAAGAAGACAGGCUGGCUGCAGUGCUCAGGCCUGUAACCCCAGCACUUUGGGAGGCCAGUGUGGGUGGAUUGUUUGAGCCAAGCAGUUCAAGACCAGUCUGAGCAACAGAGUGAGGCCCCGUCUCUGCAAAAAAAAUAAGAAAAGAAGAGGGAGGGGUGAGAAGAUCUCACAUUCAACUGAGUUCCAGAAGAGAAUGAAAAAAGAAAAUAUUCAAAGAGUGGAUGGCUGAGAAUUUUCCAGAAUGGGUUUAAUUUACCAGUCUAAAGACUGAAGAAAUACAACAAGUCCCUAGCAGGAUACAGACAAAGAUACCUGUGCCUGACACAUCUGGGCAAACUGUGGCACUCAAAGCAGAUGAGAAAACCAUGAAAGAAUCCAGGAGGAAAACAGAUUUCUCACGAAGGAAAGGCGAUUCCAUGGACAGCUCCCUUCUUAGUAGGAACUGUGGAAACCAGAAGUAGCUUUAAAGUGCUGGGAUAAAACUGUCUUUCAAGGAUAAGAGUGAAAACAAAGACAUACUCAGACAAAAACUGAAAACAUUUACCACAAACAAACUCACCUUAAGCAGGCAAAUGGCCCUCGAUGUGGAAAGCAAAGCUCAGGGGACAGAGGGUGUACUGAAGAGUUGGCGGUGAUGAUCCCUGGAGGGUCCCCCCAGGGCCAAGAAGGGGGCUGGGAGCCAUGCAUGGUGAGACUGGAGUGUGAGCUUGAGGACAGCAAGAAUCAGACGACCACCCCAGGCUGCCAGGGUGUGGCUCAGCCUAUCUGCCCCUCACGCUGAGCUGCACAGAUGCAAACACCUUCCAAACACAGUCACGAGGCCUUAGGAACGUCUCCAGAGCUUCCGUCAUCAUCCGGGUCUCCUCGUCAGCUGCUGCCUGGUGAGGGCUCUGCCAGAGGACAGCCCGCCAUCAAGGCUGAGGAGGCCGCCCCCACGUGCCACCCACGAAGCUGCCUGCAGGCCGGGAGGCUUCUCUUUUGGCUUCAGCCACAUGUGAAGGAGAACCUGUCAAGCUCCGGCUGAUGAA
RNAcentral lists this long non-coding RNA (4990 nucleotides) under Homo sapiens (human). RNAcentral's name for it is "non-protein coding lnc-EP400-1:5". Lineage: Eukaryota; Metazoa; Chordata; Mammalia; Primates; Hominidae. The record is from RNAcentral.